This 429-nucleotide ribosomal RNA is filed under the name Actinomycetes bacterium. RNAcentral describes it as "Actinobacteria bacterium partial 16S ribosomal RNA". It matches the Rfam family "Bacterial small subunit ribosomal RNA", at positions 355 to 776 of the family's 1533-position model. The record is from RNAcentral. Lineage: Bacteria; Bacillati; Actinomycetota; Actinomycetes.
UAGGGAAUCUUCCGCAAUGGGCGAAAGCUUGACGGAGCAGCGCCGCGUGAGUGAUGAAGGUCUUCGGAUCGUAAAACUCUGUUAUUAGGGAAGAACAAAUGUGUAAGUAACUAUGCACGUCUUGACGGUACAUAAUCAGAAAGCCACGGCUAACUACGUGCCAGCAGCCGCGGUAAUACGUAGGUGGCAAGCGUUAUCCGGAAUUAUUGGGCGUAAAGCGCGCGUAGGCGGUUUUUUAAGUCUGAUGUGAAAGCCCACGGCUCAACCGUGGAGGGUCAUUGGAAACUGGAAAACUUGAGUGCAGAAGAGGAAAGUGGAAUUCCAUGUGUAGCGGUGAAAUGCGCAGAGAUAUGGAGGAACACCAGUGGCGAAGGCGACUUUCUGGUCUGUAACUGACGCUGAUGUGCGAAAGCGUGGGGAUCAAACAGG